Molecule: ribosomal RNA, 354 nt
Filed under: Triticum aestivum (bread wheat)
Lineage: Eukaryota; Viridiplantae; Streptophyta; Magnoliopsida; Poales; Poaceae
Description: partial small subunit ribosomal RNA
Source: RNAcentral
AUGGGAGCGCGGCGGAUCCCGUCCCUUGCCGGUGGAAGGGCUCCAUUUUUAGAUGUGUCUUCGAGAUUUGUUAGGGUUUGUAUCCAACUCAGGAAGACGAGAUGGCGGCGGCUCCCUGGAGAUAGAAUAAGGUUCUCCCCAUGUCGUGGUGGGCUCACAGCAGAUGUCAUGGGAUGGCUAAAGAGAAGAACGGACAAGAGGGCACCGGUGGGCUCCAGAGGCGAGGUUGGUACGAGCGAGCGUGAGACGCAAGAUGUACCCAGGUUUGGGGUUCUCCGGAGAGAUAACACCCCUAGUUCUGUCGAGUGUGGUUUAUAUGUGGAGGAUACAAGCUUGCUCCUUGAGCUGUUCUGA